Molecule: long non-coding RNA, 1387 nt
Organism: Epinephelus lanceolatus (giant grouper)
Lineage: Eukaryota; Metazoa; Chordata; Actinopteri; Perciformes; Serranidae
Source: RefSeq, a predicted model, not a curated record
UUUGUUUGAUAUCUCGUGUCGGAAAAAAAUAUUGUUGCACAUUUCCGACCUGUUGUUAACAUCAUUAGCUUGUUUACGAUAUUACUCAAAUGUUGCUGUCACACUGAAUUUCCCGCGGAACCCACUCAAACUUUGAAACUUUAUAUAGUGAAACAAAAGAAUUGUUGAAUGUCCUAAAUUGUAUUUAACGGCUUAAUCUGAGUUGAGUGACAUAAUUCGGAGACGGGUACAGCCCUACAAAUAACUAAAGUAGGGACAGUAGCUUUAGACAGUUUUCAGAUCGCUUCACUUUUUGCACACUUUUGUUGUAGGUUUAAUUUCAAAUAGAUAAAAUUGCAGUUUUGCCCACCAAUAUGCAUAUAUUAAGCCAAAAUACAAAAAGUGAAAACAUGUUUUUAGAAUGUGUUGCAAAUGUAUUAAAAAUUGUAUUGAAGAAUGGAAAUAACUCAUUUACAGAAGCCAUUACAAAGUCUUUUAAACAUUUCCUCAAUGUUCCUCAACAUAGAAACACAGGAGUCUCAUAAAUCAUUUAACCAUACUGCAGGUUUACAUUCUGAACUCGUUUGAAGUUUUUUCAACUUUGUUUAUGAAAAACCAUGUUAUUUCUGUUAGUUUGAAAUGGCUGGCUCUAAAUACUGUAAUACCCAGUGACCAUAUCUAUGGUUGCUGUGGUAUAUGUAAUUUUGUCAUGUCAUGUAUAUUUAAAGUUGUUGCCUGUCUGUCAGCUCUGCACCAUUUAUGCUAACUGGUGAUAUUUGAGUUUAUUUGCAAAUAUCAGCUGUACUUUUUGUGAUUAAUAUCGGAUAACAAGACUUCAAGACACUCGUCAGGAUAAGAAAAUCAACUCACUGCUAUGUGAACUCUCCUCCUGCUGACUCUGCUAACUGGCCCAUGGAGGUUUUCAAAUUUAAACAUCAGAGAAAACAUCAGGGAAAAAGUGGAAAAGAUGAGCUCCAGCUACAAUCUCAACUCCAUGGACAAGUAAGACCAUCUCUGCAUCUGUCUCAGAGAAGGCACACAGGCAUAGGUGGAGAGAUCAAACACCAGCUAAGAUUCCAGUCACAAAGAUGAUCCCUGCCAAGCAUCCUGCUAGCCAAUGUACAGGCGUUGGAUCAGGGGUGUCAAACAUACGGCCUGUGGAACAACUGGCCCACCAAAGGACACACUAGCCGUUUCUCAAUACACAAGUUCAGCAGUUUGGACUUGUGGACUUGGCAAGUCCGCGCGAGAGUCCGGACUUCCCAAGAACGGGAGAACGGGAGUACGGGAGUACAGUCUUUUCUGCUUUUGGAACAGCAGCGAACUUGAUGAUGUCACCACCUCCGCUCGCCUUGGCUGUUGUACUGUGUUGUAUACAUGCAUUUAGAAUAAAACAAUAUAAACACAA